UUGCUUUGGCAUCAUUUACACUAAAAUUGGAAAGAUACAGAAAAGAUUAGCAUGGCCCUUGUGCAAGGAUGACAUGCACAUUUGUGAAGUGUUCCAUAAUUUU
Nyctereutes procyonoides (raccoon dog) is the source of this 103-nucleotide small nuclear RNA. The record is from RefSeq and is a predicted model, not a curated record. NCBI's taxonomy places the organism in Eukaryota, Metazoa, Chordata, Mammalia, Carnivora, Canidae.